GUGAGGAAUAUUGGUCAAUGGGCGAGAGCCUGAACCAGCCAAGUAGCGUGCAGGAUGACGGCCCUAUGGGUUGUAAACUGCUUUUACACGGGGAUAAAGUGUGCGACGUGUCGUUCAUUGCAGGUACCGUGCGAAUAAGGACCGGCUAAUUCCGUGCCAGCAGCCGCGGUAAUACGGAAGGUCCGGGCGUUAUCCGGAUUUAUUGGGUUUAAAGGGAGCGUAGGCCGUCUGUUAAGCGUGUUGUGAAAUGUAGAUGCUCAACAUCUGAAUUGCAGCGCGAACUGACCGACUUGAGUGCGCAGGAAGUAGGCGGAAUUCGUGGUGUAGCGGUGAAAUGCUUAGAUAUCACGAAGAACUCCGAUUGCGAAGGCAGCUUACUAAGCUGAAACUGACACUGAUGUACGAAAGCGUGGGGAUCGAACAGGAUUAGAAACCCGUGUAGUCC
This 445-nucleotide ribosomal RNA is filed under the name uncultured bacterium. Its description in RNAcentral is "partial 16S ribosomal RNA". It matches the Rfam family "Bacterial small subunit ribosomal RNA", at positions 354 to 796 of the family's 1533-position model. The record is from RNAcentral.